Molecule: long non-coding RNA, 231 nt
Organism: Ornithodoros turicata
Lineage: Eukaryota; Metazoa; Arthropoda; Arachnida; Ixodida; Argasidae
Exons: 2
Source: RefSeq, a predicted model, not a curated record
UGUCACAGCUCAGAAAGCAAUGGGGCAAUUUAAAAACACGCCACGGUCCCAUGUUCUCAGACAGAACACGUGCAGCGGAGGAACCAAACGGUGCACCAACCAGUCGAGCACUGGAGUCAAGCCUCGCGGAAGAUGAUUUCAUUGGAGCUCCGCGGGAGCUCCGAACCGGACUUUCGACACCAUUCCAGCACCUAUGCAUAUGUAGCUGAAUAUAUUAUUGGGUGUGCUGUA